Molecule: ribosomal RNA, 782 nt
Filed under: uncultured Neocallimastigales
Lineage: Eukaryota; Fungi; Neocallimastigomycota; Neocallimastigomycetes; Neocallimastigales
Description: partial large subunit ribosomal RNA
Rfam family: Eukaryotic large subunit ribosomal RNA
Source: RNAcentral
CGUCUAUAUACGUAUAGCAUAUCAAUAAGCGGAGGAAAAGAAACUAACAAGGAUUCCCUUAGUAACGGCGAGUGAAGCGGGAAGAGCUCAAAUUUGAAAUCUUCAAGGUUUACCUUGACGAAUUGUAGUUUAAAGAAGUGUUUUCUGUUGAAGUUUCGGUAAAAGUUCUUUGGAAUAGGACAUCAUAGAGGGUGAGAAUCCCGUAUUUGACCGUUACUUUCCAGCUGUGUGAUACACUUUCAAAGAGUCGGAUUGUUUGGGAAUGCAGUCCAAAAUGGGUGGUAAAUUUCAUCUAAAGCUAAAUAUUGGCGAGAGACCGAUAGCGAACAAGUACCGUGAGGGAAAGAUGAAAAGAACUUUGAAAAGAGAGUUAAACAGUACGUGAAAUUGUCAAAAGGGAAGCGUUUGACACCAGUGUUGUUUUCUCGAAAAUCAAUUAAAAAUGGCAUGAUUUUGUGUUGUAUUGACCUUCAUCAAGCUUUCUGCACUCUUUUCAUUGUCUUUUUUAAUGCACUUUUCGUUUAACAAGUCAACAUCAGUUUCUUUUGUUGUAAAAAGGGUCAUUGGAAGGUGGCUUUCAUUUUCGGUAGAAAGUGUUUAUAGCCUUUGACUUCUGCAAUCGGAGAGAUUGAGGUCUGCAGCGUAGAUCCUUCUGGGAUUAGAUACAUUUGUGCUAAGUUAUAGUUUUUCAUAGACAACAUGUUGACUAUGAUUAGUCAUGUAGCUUACUCGCUUAUGCUAAUUUUACCUACGCUUAGGAUGUUGAUCUGUAGUGCGUGCGC